UUUUGUGGAGGGUUCGAUUCUGGCUCAGGAUGAACGCUGGCGGCGUGCUUAACACAUGCAAGUCGAACGGGAUCCAUCAGGCUUUGCUUGGUGGUGAGAGUGGCGAACGGGUGAGUAAUGCGUGACCGACCUGCCCCAUACACCGGAAUAGCUCCUGGAAACGGGUGGUAAUGCCGGAUGCUCCGACUCCUCGCAUGGGGUGUCGGGAAAGAUUUCAUCGGUAUGGGAUGGGGUCGCGUCCUAUCAGGUAGUCGGCGGGGUAACGGCCCACCGAGCCUACGACGGGUAGCCGGCCUGAGAGGGCGACCGGCCACAUUGGGACUGAGAUACGGCCCAGACUCCUACGGGAGGCAGCAGUGGGGAAUAUUGCACAAUGGGCGCAAGCCUGAUGCAGCGACGCCGCGUGCGGGAUGACGGCCUUCGGGUUGUAAACCGCUUUUGAUCGGGAGCAAGCCUUCGGGUGAGUGUACCUUUCGAAUAAGCACCGGCUAACUACGUGCCAGCAGCCGCGGUAAUACGUAGGGUGCAAGCGUUAUCCGGAAUUAUUGGGCGUAAAGGGCUCGUAGGCGGUUCGUCGCGUCCGGUGUGAAAGUCCAUCGCUUAACGGUGGAUCUGCGCCGGGUACGGGCGGGCUGGAGUGCGGUAGGGGAGACUGGAAUUCCCGGUGUAACGGUGGAAUGUGUAGAUAUCGGGAAGAACACCAAUGGCGAAGGCAGGUCUCUGGGCCGUUACUGACGCUGAGGAGCGAAAGCGUGGGGAGCGAACAGGAUUAGAUACCCUGGUAGUCCACGCCGUAAACGGUGGAUGCUGGAUGUGGGGCCCGUUCCACGGGUUCCGUGUCGGAGCUAACGCGUUAAGCAUCCCGCCUGGGGAGUACGGCCGCAA
This 885-nucleotide ribosomal RNA is filed under the name Parabacteroides merdae. RNAcentral describes it as "bacterial SSU rRNA". It matches the Rfam family "Bacterial small subunit ribosomal RNA", at positions 1 to 891 of the family's 1533-position model. Lineage: Bacteria; Pseudomonadati; Bacteroidota; Bacteroidia; Bacteroidales; Tannerellaceae. The record is from RNAcentral.